CGCAAGGGGAGUGGCAGACGGGUGAGUAACACGUGGGAACCUUCCCUAUAGUACGGAAUAGCCCAGGGAAACUUGGAGUAAUACCGUAUACGCCCGAAAGGGGAAAGAAUUUCGCUAUAGGAUGGGCCCGCGUAGGAUUAGCUAGUUGGUGAGGUAAUGGCUCACCAAGGCGACGAUCCUUAGCUGGUUUGAGAGAACGACCAGCCACACUGGGACUGAGACACGGCCCAGACUCCUACGGGAGGCAGCAGUGGGGAAUAUUGGACAAUGGGCGCAAGCCUGAUCCAGCCAUGCCGCGUGAGUGAUGAAGGCCUUAGGG
Molecule: ribosomal RNA, 319 nt
Filed under: uncultured bacterium
Lineage: Bacteria
Description: bacterial SSU rRNA
Rfam family: Bacterial small subunit ribosomal RNA
Source: RNAcentral